Molecule: long non-coding RNA, 372 nt
Organism: Neodiprion fabricii
Lineage: Eukaryota; Metazoa; Arthropoda; Insecta; Hymenoptera; Diprionidae
Exons: 3
Source: RefSeq, a predicted model, not a curated record
GACGCUGACCAUCGAAGGGCGUAGCCGCUUGAGUCUGGAAUCGGCAAGAGAGAUAAGACGAAAAUCAACUAGCCGAUUUCCUCAGUACGGAAACAACCGCGCAGUAGAAUGGACGUAUGAGAACCGCGCUCCGCAGAUUUUGAGUACCGGGAUCUCUACCUCCUGGACCCUGCGCUUCGGGGCCACUUUCUGGUGCAACUUGAGUUCCAGGACAAGCGCUCCGUAGUUUUUACGCUCCAGGUACGCUACCGGGUGAAACUAGACGUUCAUUCAACUCGAAUCUGAGACCAAAAACUUUUGACUCCAAGAUCGAAGAAAAAGUACAACCCGAGGUGGUUGUCGGUGGUUGUUCGAGGUGGUUGGCGAUUGUUG